UUCAGUCGCUUGAUAACGAUGAGGACCGUCAUUGCUUAAAUAGCAUUCAAGAUCAACACUUCUAUUUAGAAGUUUAGACCCGACCUCAAUAUUUUGGAAGAAGUUCAUACUGAGGCUUUUGCAGAUUUCAUUCUGAACAGUACGAUGGCCAUACAAGCUCAAGUUGCGGUACCACUUCAAUCAGGAUCAUUUGAAAAUAUAAAGUUGAAAAUACACAAGAGAAUAAACAUGCCAUUUAACUCAAUUUGCGGAUGUUGCAUAAUGCCGAAUGGUAAAAUUGCUAUUACCUGUGAUAAAGAUAAAGUAAGAGUAAUUAACAUUGACGAAACUCAAGACUUUGAGAUGGAAAUGUGGUACAACGCAUUUGACAUAGUGAACACCAACGAGGAUGAUACUUAUGCCGUUACGUCUGGUUGUGGAAGACAGCCUACUAUUACCAUUUUGAACCUAAAAAGGAGACAAAUUAAGGAGACAAUUUUAAUGGAUUCGCAUACUUCUGGGAUAGCACUUAGAGAAAAUAAUUUGAUAUAUUCUUGUUACGAAGGAAUACGAAUGAUCAAUCCGUCUGACCCGUCUAGAAGUGACGGCAUAGUCUGGGACAAGGAUACGCCCCCUGACUGUUAUGUCGCAACAUUUGAGGACAAAAUAUAUCACUCAAAUUGGGAAAAAAACACGGUUACAUGUUAUAAUCUACCAGGUAAACCUCGAUGGACAUUCCAAAAUGAAAACGUCCUGAAGACACCUCGUGGUAUUGAUGUAGAUCGUGAUGGCAAUGUGUACGUGGUGGGGAACAGCUCACACAAUGUUGUUCUUAUCUCCCCUGAUGGACAACGACAUAGAGAAAUAUUAACAGCACGCGAUGGUCUUAAAGAUCCCACAUCACUUCAUUAUAAUGGACCAACAAAGCAGUUGCUUGUUGCUAACUUUCAAAACAUUUUCGCCUUGUUUGAUUUGUAUUGCAAACAUUAAGCUUUCAUUAAGCACUGUCUUUAUUUCAAUCAAUUUUGUUUAAAGCAAUUUACUAGUAUAUAUACAUUCAGGCAUCGCAGAUCAAAUUUAUUCGUUCAUAGUGUGUUAAUUUACGUUUUUUGAUUGAGUUAAGCCUUCCAAUUAAUAUUUUAUCGUGUGUUUUUCUAUGUUGUGAUGUUAUACUAUUGUUACAGAAAAAAGAGAAGUUUG
Molecule: long non-coding RNA, 1179 nt
Filed under: Mytilus galloprovincialis (Mediterranean mussel)
Lineage: Eukaryota; Metazoa; Mollusca; Bivalvia; Mytilida; Mytilidae
Source: RNAcentral